Molecule: long non-coding RNA, 1111 nt
Filed under: Setaria viridis
Lineage: Eukaryota; Viridiplantae; Streptophyta; Magnoliopsida; Poales; Poaceae
Description: long non-coding RNA (SVIR_LNC002135)
Source: RNAcentral
GACGGACAACGACAUCAAGAACUACUGGAACACGCAUCUCAAGAAGAAGCUCAAGAAGAUGCAGGCUGGCGGCGAAGGUGACGGGGGAGACGACGGGGGCGGCGGCGACGCCGGCGGUAGGACCGGGGCCGGGGGCGGGAAGCGUCCGGCCGUCCCCAAGGGGCAGUGGGAGCGGCGGCUGCAGACCGACAUCCACACAGCGCGGCAGGCGCUGCGCGACGCGCUCUCGCUGGAGCCCUCGGCGCCGCAAGCGAAGGCGGCGCCCCCACCGACGCCUCCGGGGUCCGCGACGUACGCGUCCAGCGCCGAGAACAUCGCGCGGCUGCUGGAGGGGUGGCUGCGCCCGGGCGGCGGCAGCGGGGGCAAGGGGCCGGAGGCGUCGGGGUCGACGUCCACAACGGCGACGACGCAGCAGCGGCCGCAGUGCUCCGGCGAGGGCGCGGCUUCCGCGUCGGCGAGCCACAGCGGCGGCGCGGCCGCGAACACGGCCGCGCAUACCCCGGAGUGCUCGACGGAGACCAGCAAGAUGGCAAGCAGCGGCGCGGCGGGCGCCGGCGCCGCGCCGGCGUUCUCGAUGCUGGAGAGCUGGCUUCUCGACGACGGCAUGGGCCACAGCGAGGUGGAGCUCAUGGCCGAUGUGGUGCCACUAGGGGACCCCAGUGAGUUCUUUUAAUCAAGUCCGCUUACAAGUACAACCAAAAAAGCAAGUUGAUCAAGUAGCUCGUAGAGAUGCAAGAACACAAGAAGAAAUUAAUCGCCGGACGACGGGUUAGGUGACUAGUUAAGCAGACAUGAACAGACUAAAUGUCUUUGAAUUCUCGGCGAUUUAGAUCGAGUUGGGUGUCGAUCUAGUCUGUUUAAUCCCCUUUUUUAUUUCUUUUCGCUGUUUUUUCUCUGAUGUUAGGGUUUGGAACUGAUCAUGUAAGCUUAUACUAAUGACAGGUUCCUAAAUGGACCAUCCAUGAGGCUGGCAGAAAGAAAGAAGUGUACAUCUUAAAAGAUCUAAAUAUUUAGAUGUUAUAGAUGCUCAAUUAUGUUACUCCGUAUUUUCCUUGCGCUAUAUACACUAUAAAUUCCAUUCCAUUAUACGAAAUGGAGAUUAUUAUAAAAC